AGUGAACGCUGGCGGUAGGCCUAACACAUGCAAGUCGGACGGCAGCACAGUAAGAGCUUGCUCUUACGGGUGGCGAGUGGCGGACGGGUGAGGAAUACAUCGGAAUCUACUUUUUCGUGGGGGAUAACGUAGGGAAACUUACGCUAAUACCGCAUACGACCUACGGGUGAAAGCAGGGGAUCUUCGGACCUUGCGCGAUUGAAUGAGCCGAUGUCGGAUUAGCUAGUUGGCGGGGUAAAGGCCCACCAAGGCGACGAUCCGUAGCUGGUCUGAGAGGAUGAUCAGCCACACUGGAACUGAGACACGGUCCAGACUCCUACGGGAGGCAGCAGUGGGGAAUAUUGGACAAUGGGCGCAAGCCUGACCCAGCCAUACCGCGUGGGUGAAGAAGGCCUUCGGGUUGUAAAGCCCUUUUGUUGGGAAAGAAAAGCAGCAGGUUAAUACCCCGCUGUUCUGACGGUACCCAAAGAAUAAGCACCGGCUAACUUCGUG
This 492-nucleotide ribosomal RNA is filed under the name uncultured bacterium. Its description in RNAcentral is "partial 16S ribosomal RNA". It matches the Rfam family "Bacterial small subunit ribosomal RNA", at positions 29 to 507 of the family's 1533-position model. The record is from RNAcentral.